Molecule: ribosomal RNA, 440 nt
Filed under: uncultured bacterium
Lineage: Bacteria
Description: partial 16S ribosomal RNA
Rfam family: Bacterial small subunit ribosomal RNA
Source: RNAcentral
CCUACGGGUGGCAGCAGUGGGGGAUAUUGCACAAUGGGGGAAACCCUGAUGCAGCGACGCCGCGUGGGUGAAGAAGCGCCUCGGCGCGUAAAGCCCUGUCAGCAGGGAAGAAAAUGACGGUACCUGAAGAAGAAGCACCGGCUAACUACGUGCCAGCAGCCGCGGUAAUACGUAGGGGGCAAGCGUUAUCCGGAUUGACUGGGUGUAAAGGGGGCGCAGACGGGGAAGCAAGACAGGAGUGAAAGCCCAGGGCCUAACCCCGGGACUGCACUUGAAACUGCGUGGCUAGAGUGCAGGAGGGGCAGGCGGAAUUCCUGGUGUAGCGGUGAAAUGCGUAGAGAUCAGGAGGAACACCGGUGGCGAAGGCGACCUGCUGGACUGCAACUGACGUUGAGGCCCGAAAGCGUGGGGAGCAAACAGGAUUAGAUACCCCAGUAGUC